RNAcentral lists this unclassified non-coding RNA (164 nucleotides) under uncultured Penicillium. RNAcentral's name for it is "sequence contains ITS2". Lineage: Eukaryota; Fungi; Ascomycota; Eurotiomycetes; Eurotiales; Aspergillaceae. The record is from RNAcentral.
CAACCCUCAAGCCCCGCUUGGUGUUGGGCCCCGCCCCCCGGUCCCGGGGGGCGGGCCCGAAAGGCAGCGGCGGCACCGCGUCCGGUCCUCGAGCGUAUGGGGCUUUGUCACCCGCUCCGUAGGCCCGGCCGGCGCCCGCCGGCGACCCCCAAUCAAUCUAUCCA